Molecule: non-coding RNA, 68 nt
Organism: Pseudoliparis swirei
Lineage: Eukaryota; Metazoa; Chordata; Actinopteri; Perciformes; Liparidae
Source: the annotation of a RefSeq genome assembly
GUUUUCGUAACUUAAUUAAAGUAUAACACUGAAAAUGUUAAAAUGGACCCUAAAAAGUCCCGCAGAUA